This 253-nucleotide ribosomal RNA is filed under the name uncultured bacterium. Its description in RNAcentral is "partial 16S ribosomal RNA". It matches the Rfam family "Bacterial small subunit ribosomal RNA", at positions 524 to 776 of the family's 1533-position model. The record is from RNAcentral.
UACGUAGGGCGCAAGCGUUGUCCGGAAUUAUUGGGCGUAAAGAGCUCGUAGGCGGUUUGUCGCGUCUGCUGUGAAAACCCGAGGCUCAACCUCGGGCCUGCAGUGGGUACGGGCAAACUAGAGUGCGGUAGGGGAGAAUGGAAUUCCUGGUGUAGCGGUGGAAUGCGCAGAUAUCAGGAGGAACACCGAUGGCGAAGGCAGUUCUCUGGGCCGUAACUGACGCUGAGGAGCGAAAGCUAGGGGAGCAAACGGG